AACGAACGCUGGCGGCGUGCCUAACACAUGCAAGUCGUGCGAGAAAGUUCCUUCGGGAGCGAGUAAAGCGGCGCACGGGUGAGUAACACGUAGGUAACCUGCCCCCCAGUCUGGAACAACUAGAGGAAACUCUAGCUAAUGCCGGAUGAGACCACGAUCCCUUCGGGGUUGCGGCCAAGAUGGCCUCUACUUGUAAGCUAUCGCUGAGGGAUGGGCCGUGCGGGCCAUUAGCUUGUUGGUGAGGUAACGGCUCACCAAGGCUGUGAUGGCUAGCUGGUCUGAGAGGAUGACCAGCCACACUGGGACUGAGACACGGCCCAGACUCCUACGGGAGGCAGCAGU
Molecule: ribosomal RNA, 342 nt
Filed under: uncultured bacterium
Lineage: Bacteria
Description: bacterial SSU rRNA
Rfam family: Bacterial small subunit ribosomal RNA
Source: RNAcentral